GACGGAGGAUGCAAGCGUUGUCCGGAAUUAUUGGGCGUAAAGAGCUCGUAGGCGGUUUGUCGCGUCGGCUGUGAAAACUCGGGGCUCAACCCCGAGCCUGCAGUCGAUACGGGCAGACUAGAGUGCUGUAGGGGAGACUGGAAUUCCUGGUGUAGCGGUGAAAUGCGCAGAUAUCGCUUGGAACGCCGAAGGUGAAAACAGGUUGCUGGGGAUGUGCCGACGCUGAGACACGAAAGCCAGGGGAGCAAACGGG
RNAcentral lists this ribosomal RNA (253 nucleotides) under uncultured bacterium. Its description in RNAcentral is "partial 16S ribosomal RNA". It matches the Rfam family "Bacterial small subunit ribosomal RNA", at positions 524 to 776 of the family's 1533-position model. The record is from RNAcentral.